Armigeres subalbatus is the source of this 697-nucleotide long non-coding RNA. RefSeq lists it as uncharacterized. The record is from RefSeq and is a predicted model, not a curated record. The transcript has 3 exons. NCBI's taxonomy places the organism in Eukaryota, Metazoa, Arthropoda, Insecta, Diptera, Culicidae.
CAACUGUCAGUUCGGUGAAAAUUUUCAUCAACCGCAGUUAGAAGUUUGCCUGCAGCUGAUACCGCUAGCUUUAUUUGUUGUUGUUGGCGAAAAGUUUAGCUUUAAAAUUUGUUUUCGAUCUUCCCAAGUAAAGUGAAGUGAUUUACUUCCGAUUGGAGUCCGCCGCAAAUGAGAAUUUGGAAUCAUCCCGAAAGAAUUAUUUAAAAACGCUGCCACUUCGGAUCAUCGAUAUUUAUGCCAAUUUCCUGAUUUUAUCCGCCUAUUGACGUUCCGGAAUGUUCCAAAAGCGCUGCGCUGCUGCUGUCGUUUCAAGCCGUGCGUUGAACAAAGCGAGAGUGAUCGCCGCGCCCGCAGUCGGAAAUAUAUGUUUGAGUAUUCAAACAAAUUCGGAAACCAGAGCAGUUUCAAUUCUGGUGCUGGGAAAUAAUGCAGAUGGCAUGGAGAAAGCAGUUUGCAUUUUGUUUAGCAGUAGCUAGGAAGUUAUUUCAGGAAGUGGUUUUACACAUCGAGAUUACAACUACUAUUUACGACUGGAAAUAAUCUAUUCCUGAAGUACUACACCCGGAAGUGCACCCAAGGGCAGGGCUAUUUAAACAUUUUCCGUAACUAGAAGUACAAACAAAACAUAAUUUUGAGGAGACCACAAAGUGAUGAAAGUGACAGAAAGGUAAUUUUUCACAUUAUAUGAUUGGUAUGU